GACGAACGCUGGCGGCGUGCUUAACACAUGCAGGUCGAACGGAAAGGCCCUGCUUUUGUGGGGUGCUCGAGUGGCGAACGGGUGAGUAACACGUGAGUAACCUGCCCUUGACUUUGGGAUAACUUCAGAAAACUGGGGCUAAUACCGGAUAGGAGCUCCUGCUGCAUGGUGGGGGUUGGAAAGUUUCGGCGGUUGGGGAUGGACUCGCGGCUUAUCAGCUUGUUGGUGGGGUAGUGGCUUACCAAGGCUUUGACGGGUAGCCGGCCUGAGAGGGUGACCGGCCACAUUGGGACUGAGAUACGGCCCAGACUCCUACGGGAGGCAGCAGUGGGGAAUAUUGCACAAUGGGCGGAAGCCUGAUGCAGCAACGCCGCGUGCGGGAUGACGGCCUUCGGGUUGUAAACCGCUUUCGCCUGUGACGAAGCGUGAGUGACGGUAAUGGGUAAAGAAGCACCGGCUAACUACGUG
This 468-nucleotide ribosomal RNA is filed under the name uncultured bacterium. RNAcentral's name for it is "partial 16S ribosomal RNA". It matches the Rfam family "Bacterial small subunit ribosomal RNA", at positions 28 to 507 of the family's 1533-position model. The record is from RNAcentral.